This 402-nucleotide ribosomal RNA is filed under the name bacterium. RNAcentral describes it as "partial 16S ribosomal RNA". It matches the Rfam family "Bacterial small subunit ribosomal RNA", at positions 355 to 776 of the family's 1533-position model. The record is from RNAcentral.
UGGGGAAUUUUGCACAAUGGGGGAAACCCUGAUGCAGCGACGCCGCGUGAUUUAGAAGGCCUUCGGGUUGUAAAAAUCUUUUUUACGGGAUGAAAAUGACAGUACCGUAAGAUUAAGGUCCGGCUAAAUACGUGCCAGCAGCCGCGGUAAUACGUAUGGACCGAGCGUUGUCCGGAAUCAUUGGGCGUAAAGGGUACGUAGGCGGCCUAGUAAGUUAGAAGUGAAAUAAUAUAGCUCAACUAUAUAAAGCUUUUAAAACUGCUAGGCUUGAGAGAUGGAAGGGAAAGUGGAAUUCCUAGUGUAGCGGUGAAAUGCGCAGAUAUUAGGAAGAAUACCGGUGGCGAAGGCGACUUUCUGGUCAUCAUCUGACGCUGAGGUACGAAAGCGUGGGUAGCAAACAGG